RNAcentral lists this ribosomal RNA (467 nucleotides) under uncultured bacterium. RNAcentral describes it as "partial 16S ribosomal RNA". It matches the Rfam family "Bacterial small subunit ribosomal RNA", at positions 28 to 506 of the family's 1533-position model. The record is from RNAcentral.
GACGAACGCUGGCGGCGUGCUUAACACAUGCAAGUCGAACGGAAAGGCCCUGCUUUUGUGGGGUGCUCGAGUGGCGAACGGGUGAGUAACACGUGAGUAACCUGCCCUUGACUUUGGGAUAACUUCAGGAAACUGGGGCUAAUACCGGAUAGGAGCUCCUGCUGCAUGGUGGGGGUUGGAAAGUUUCGGCGGUUGGGGAUGGACUCGCGGCUUAUCAGCUUGUUGGUGGGGUAGUGGCUUACCAAGGCUUUGACGGGUAGCCGGCCUGAGAGGGUGACCGGCCACAUUGGGACUGAGAUACGGCCCAGACGCCUACGGGAGGCAGCAGUGGGGAAUAUUGCACAAUGGGCGGAAGCCGGAUGCAGCAACGCCGCGUGCGGGAUGACGGCCUUCGGGUUGGAAACCGCUUUCGCCUGUGACGAAGCGUGAGGGACGGGAAUGGGUAAAGAAGCACCGGCGAACUACGU